AUGAACGUUGGCGGCGUGGAUUAGGCAUGCAAGUCGAGCGAUAAAUCCCGCAAGGGGUGGAAAGCGGCGAAAGGGAGAGGAAUACGUGGAUACCAACCCUCAGGUCCAGGAUAGCUGCGGGAAACUGCAGGUAAUACUGGAUAAUAUCUCCGGAUCAAAGGUGUGAUUCCGCCGGAGGACGGGUCCGCGUCCUAUUAGCUAGUUGGCGAGGUAAUGGCUCACCAAGGCAAUGAUGGGUACUGGGUGUGAGAGCACGACCCAGCUCACUGGGACUGAGACACUGCCCAGACACCUACGGGUGGCUGCAGUCGAGGAUCUUCGGCAAUGGGCGAAAGCCUGACCGAGCGACGCCGCGUGUGGGAUGAAGGCCUUCGGGUUGUAAACCACUGUCGUAGGGGAGGAAAUAUAGGAGGGUACUCCCUCUUAUUUGACCUAUCCUAGGAGGAAGGACGGGCUAAGUUCGU
Molecule: ribosomal RNA, 464 nt
Filed under: uncultured bacterium
Lineage: Bacteria
Description: bacterial SSU rRNA
Rfam family: Bacterial small subunit ribosomal RNA
Source: RNAcentral